AUUGAACGCUGGCGGCAGGCCUAACACAUGCAAGUCGAGCGGAUGAAGGGAGCUUGCUCCUGGAUUCAGCGGCGGACGGGUGAGUAAUGCCUAGGAAUCUGCCUGGUAGUGGGGGAUAACGUCCGGAAACGGGCGCUAAUACCGCAUACGUCCUGAGGGAGAAAGUGGGGGAUCUUCGGACCUCACGCUAUCAGAUGAGCCUAGGUCGGAUUAGCUAGUUGGUGGGGUAAAGGCCUACCAAGGCGACGAUCCGUAACUGGUCUGAGAGGAUGAUCAGUCACACUGGAACUGAGACACGGUCCAGAGUCCUACGCGAGGCAGCAGUGGGGAAUAUUGGACACUGGGCGCAAGCCUGUUCCAGCCCCGCGGCGUGUGUGAAGAAGGUCUUCGGAUUGUAAAGCACUUUAAGUUGGGAGGAAGGGCAGUAAGUUAAUACCUUGCUGUUUUGACGUUACCAACAGAAUAAGCACCGGCUAACUUCGUG
This 484-nucleotide ribosomal RNA is filed under the name uncultured bacterium. Its description in RNAcentral is "partial 16S ribosomal RNA". It matches the Rfam family "Bacterial small subunit ribosomal RNA", at positions 30 to 507 of the family's 1533-position model. The record is from RNAcentral.